This 442-nucleotide ribosomal RNA is filed under the name uncultured bacterium. Its description in RNAcentral is "partial 16S ribosomal RNA". It matches the Rfam family "Bacterial small subunit ribosomal RNA", at positions 338 to 795 of the family's 1533-position model. The record is from RNAcentral.
CCUACGGGUGGCAGCAGGGGGGAAUAUUGGGCAAUGGGCGCAAGCCUGACCCAGCAACGCCGCGGGAAGGAAGAAGGCGUUCGGGUGGUAAACGUCUUUUGACAGGGAAGAGCAGAAGACGGGACCUGUCGAAUAAGCCACGGCUAACUACGUGCCAGCAGCCGCGGUAAUACGUAGGUGGCAAGCGUUGUCCGGAUUUACUGGGUGUAAAGGGCGGGUAGCCGGGCUGACAAGUCAGAUGUGAAAUCCGGGGGCUCAACCCCCGAACUGCAUUUGAAACUGUUGGUCUUGAGUAUCGGAGAGGCAGGCGGCAUUCCUCUUGUAGCGGUGACAUGCGUAGAUAUUAGGAGGACCCCCAGUGGCGCAGGCGGCCUGCUGGACGACACCUGCCGGUGAGGCGCGACAGCGUGGGGCGCCCACAGGAUUAGAUACCCGGGUAGUC